UAGUUUUUAAAAAUCCACAAUAUUUAGAAAUUUUGGUUUAAACCGUUUUAAGAUGUUGAGCUACAUAUUUCGUAUGACUCCAUUGAGGGCAACUGGCAUCUUUAUUGGAGCAUGGGCCGUUAUUGUGGACCUUUCGCGCCCGAUGUCUGUUCGAAUUUCAGCAAGUAUCUUCAUGUUCUGGUUCGUGAACCUUGUUAGCUACGACAUCACAGAGGCUGUGGAAGGCGCUAUUUUAAGCUACUGGAUUUGUAGCAAUAAUAUUCCUGUAGACCGGAUACACAAGCUUCUUAAUUCUAUAGUCGAAAUUGUGGAAAAGAAUAUUCAGUACUGGCUCAACAAAGGGUGGGAUAAAGCGAUGGAAAAGCUAAAAGAGAAGAAAAUAAUAGAAAGUAUUCCAAGACAAUCUAUAAAAGAAGAAGAUACCCAGGAUGAAAGGAGUAAAAGCAAUAAAAUGAGUAGAAGUAGUAAAGAAUAGAGCUUCUUGAAAUAAGAUGAGUGUGCUAGCUGCUUAAAUAUUAACCUCCGUCAAUUAUCUUGUUUUACAUAAAUUUCUGUGAACCAAUAAAUGAUCAUAUCUAUUCUAAA
Molecule: long non-coding RNA, 585 nt
Organism: Eurytemora carolleeae
Lineage: Eukaryota; Metazoa; Arthropoda; Copepoda; Calanoida; Temoridae
Exons: 4
Source: RefSeq, a predicted model, not a curated record